This 455-nucleotide ribosomal RNA is filed under the name uncultured bacterium. RNAcentral's name for it is "bacterial SSU rRNA". It matches the Rfam family "Bacterial small subunit ribosomal RNA", at positions 340 to 786 of the family's 1533-position model. The record is from RNAcentral.
UACGGGAGGCAGCAGUGGGGAAUAUUGCACAAUGGGCGCAAGCCUGAUGCAGCCAUGCCGCGUGUAUGAAGAAGGCCUUCGGGUUGUAAAGUACUUUCAGUCGUGAGGAAGGUGUUAAGGUUAAUAACCUUAGCAAUUGACGUUAGCGACAGAAGAAGCACCGGCUAACUCCGUGCCAGCAGCCGCGGUAAUACGGAGGGUGCGAGCGUUAAUCGGAAUUACUGGGCGUAAAGGGCACGCAGGCGGUUAAUUAAGUUGGAUGUGAAAUCCCCGGGCUUAACCUGGGAAUGGCAUUCAAGACUGGUUAGCUAGAGUCUUGUAGAGGGGGUAGAAUUCCAUGUGUAGCGGUGAAAUGCGUAGAGAUGUGGAGGAAUACCGGUGGCGAAAGGCGGCCCCUGGACAAAGGACUGACGCUCAUGUGCGAAAGCGUGGGGAGCAAACAGGGAUUAGAUACC